UUAGUGUCAGAAUAAAUUCUGAAGAUCUUGGGAAAUCAGCAAUAAAAACACUUUAAGGGGUGGAGCUGAGGAGAACUGGUUAAAUAAAGGUAACAGGACUGCUCUGUGAAGUGCGUGUACACGCAUGAAUGCACCUCCAAGUAGCAGCCUUGCAUAUCUCAGGGACGCAGACAUAUCCAAGAAGUGCUGAAGAAGUUGCUUUAAGCUGUACUUGAGGAGUUGAAGAUCAUUAGUGAGUCAGAUGGGAUCCAGGACAUCCUCAAGAUGAGCUGAAAAUGUCUAUCUCCUGUUCAUACCAAUAUUAUCAUGACAAGUAAACCACUUGAAGAUGGAACAGCUCAGAAGAAAGCUGAUCUUUUCAAGAAAGAAAAGUGUUUCCUUGAGCAACAAAGGGCAAACUGACCUGCUAGAUGAUCCAAUCCUUCACUGAAGUCUCUCUGGUUCUCCAAAAGUUACUAGAAAUGUAACUGUAUGAAAGUUACUGGAAAUGCAUUUUUCUUCAAAUAAAAUAAACCAAAAAUAAAUUCAGAUGUGACAUUCUGUAUGUAGGUGUGUACCCAAUCACACACAAAAAUAUCCCCUAUUUACUUAAUGUUAUUAAGGUUGCACAGUAGAUCAUCAAAAGUUCCUCAUACAACCUUAAUUCUGUCCUAUCUGCAUAUGCACUACGAUACUUUUCAAUUUCAUGAUCACACAUUAUUUUUUGCAAAUUAAUAUUCUUUUAACAUAACUUUUUGCAUGUUCUAUCCAAGUACUUUAAAAACAGAGAGAGAGAGAGAGAGAGAGAGAGAGAGAGAGAGAGAGAGAGGGAAAAACACGCUGUGUGUGACUGUGCCCCAUCCAGAAGCACAAUUCUGUGUGGCACGAGUGACAUGCUGGAAAGCACUGAAUGUUGAGCAAUUUUAGUAGCAAGCUGCUAGCAUACUCUUCUGGGCAUAACACAAACUGCACACAGCAAUUUUUGAAAACUUCUCUCUGCCAAAUCUGAACAGAUUUUGAUGCGAACAUCAACAGGC
Molecule: long non-coding RNA, 1016 nt
Organism: Gopherus evgoodei (Goodes thornscrub tortoise)
Lineage: Eukaryota; Metazoa; Chordata; Testudines; Testudinidae
Exons: 4
Source: RefSeq, a predicted model, not a curated record